UCAUCAGAAAUUUGCCUGGGGCUUGGGU
Molecule: non-coding RNA, 28 nt
Filed under: Rattus norvegicus (Norway rat)
Lineage: Eukaryota; Metazoa; Chordata; Mammalia; Rodentia; Muridae
Source: RNAcentral